This 215-nucleotide ribosomal RNA is filed under the name Campeiostachys nutans. RNAcentral describes it as "Elymus nutans partial small subunit ribosomal RNA". The stretch from base 37 to 215 matches the Rfam family "Eukaryotic small subunit ribosomal RNA", at positions 684 to 864 of the family's 1831-position model. Lineage: Eukaryota; Viridiplantae; Streptophyta; Magnoliopsida; Poales; Poaceae. The record is from RNAcentral.
GGACCAUCAUGUCGGUCGUGCCUCGGUACGUACUGGUAUUGUUGGUUUCUCCCUUCUGACGAACCAUGAUGCCAUUAAUUUGGUGUUGCGGGGAAUCUGGGCUGUUACUUUGAAAAAAUUAGAGUGUUUAAAGCAGGCUUUCGCUUGAAUACAUUAGCAUGGAAUAAUGAAAUAGGACGUUUGAUUCUAUUUUGUUGGUUUCUAGGAUCGACGUA